UCAGACUGAAAGUGAUCGCAGAUAUGAUACAGUGAUCUGUGGUCAGAUAACUGAGCCCAAAGUGUUUUUUGGCAUGUUAAAGCUUAUUACGUGCUUGUUAGCAUAGUGAUAAAACCAACAUGCCUACACAC
This is a small nucleolar RNA of Cynoglossus semilaevis (tongue sole), 131 nucleotides long. RefSeq annotates it as small nucleolar RNA ACA64. The transcript has a single exon. NCBI's taxonomy places the organism in Eukaryota, Metazoa, Chordata, Actinopteri, Pleuronectiformes, Cynoglossidae. The record is from RefSeq and is a predicted model, not a curated record.